UACGUAGGGUGCGAGCGUUGUCCGGAAUUAUUGGGCGUAAAGAGCUCGUAGGCGGUCUGUCGCGUCGAUCGUGAAAACUUGGGGCUUAACCCUGAGCCUGCUUCCGAUACGGGCAGACUAGAGGUAUGCAGGGGAGAACGGAAUUCCUGGUGUAGCGGUGAAAUGCGCAGAUAUCUGCAGGAACACCCGUGGCGAAAGCGGCGCGCUGGACCACUACUGACGCUGAGGAACGAAAGCUAGGGGAGCAAACAGG
RNAcentral lists this ribosomal RNA (253 nucleotides) under uncultured bacterium. Its description in RNAcentral is "partial 16S ribosomal RNA". It matches the Rfam family "Bacterial small subunit ribosomal RNA", at positions 524 to 776 of the family's 1533-position model. The record is from RNAcentral.